Molecule: non-coding RNA, 22 nt
Filed under: Arabidopsis thaliana (thale cress)
Lineage: Eukaryota; Viridiplantae; Streptophyta; Magnoliopsida; Brassicales; Brassicaceae
Source: RNAcentral
GGGCCGCACGCGCGCUACACUG